This 69-nucleotide transfer RNA is filed under the name Marmota monax (woodchuck). RNAcentral's name for it is "tRNA.Ala". Lineage: Eukaryota; Metazoa; Chordata; Mammalia; Rodentia; Sciuridae. The record is from RNAcentral.
GGGGUUGUAGCUCAGUGGUAAAGUGCUUGCCUAGCAUGUGAGUGUCAGUGGGUUCAAUUCUCAGCACCA